Molecule: long non-coding RNA, 2208 nt
Organism: Canis lupus familiaris (dog)
Lineage: Eukaryota; Metazoa; Chordata; Mammalia; Carnivora; Canidae
Exons: 3
Source: RefSeq, a predicted model, not a curated record
GGUGAGGGGAAAAGUAAACGAAGGCCCGGGCCGCCUGCUGGGAGGGGAUGGCGCAGCACCUACUGCUGGGUACCCCCCUCACGUCCCCACUUCCUGCACCCCACAUCUCCUACCACUCCGGGAGCAGACCCUCCCGGCUGACCGGGAAUUGGGAGAGAAGGGCGAGAGCGAGAAGGAGGCUUGAAUAGCUAUACACACAUGCUGUGGACGAACUGCAGCUGAUUUCUCUCAUAGGAGCCUUGGAAUUUGGCCUCAUGUGUAUAGCUGAACUUUGGCUGAAGCACUGAGCUGUGAUUAAUGCAAUUAAAUGAGUAAAGGUAUACUACUUAAGGAGAAAUAUUGUAAGAUCAGUGUUGGUGAAUGCUGCAGAUGUCUUCAACAGUCAAGUCUACAGGUGUCCAUAGUGAUAGCAAGGGCUGUUGGAGUCCUUGUUAGUGAUAGCUACUGUGGUCUUUCUGCUCUUUUUUCCUGUGAAGAGAAUUUAUCGCUGAAAUGCAUGUAGGCACAUACAUAGCAGCAGUAGUGGGAUCUGAGGCACAUGAGCACUUGCAGCAGCAGUAGCAUUGGAAUAUAAGGUGUGAGGGUCAUGGAGCUGGGACAGGCACAGGAAUAGUCUUGGAAGUGGAUAUUAUCUCCAACCCCAGAGGAGGUGGGGGCAAAGUUCAGCUCCAGCUCUGGGGGCAAUAUGCUGCAUCUUUAUCACUGUUAUUUUUUAUAGGCAGGAGAAAACAAGGCUAGAGGAAAUUUGGUGUGAAGGAGUAGAACAGACAUAUGGCUUGUUCAAUUGGUUCUUCAGGUUAUUUUUUUCCCCAAGGUUAGUCUAUUCUUGGGAGACAAACAGUUCAGCUAAUCAUUUAUGAGACAGAUAAUGGGAAUUUGGAGUAUCUGUAUCUGGCCUUGUCAUAUAAACCCAAAGAAUUCAUCUACUAGUCUUUAUCUAAAUAAUAUGGGGAGGGGAAAUUCUUUGUGAUAAACCAUUUUCUAGAACACAAAAGGCUGGGGGUAAUUUCUUUCUUGUUUUCUAGGAGCAUAGUACUCUUGUAAACUUUAACAUUGCCAAUCAUUUUCAAGCUGUUAUUAAUAUACAGUAAAAAGGGCCCAGAUUUGGAGAUAGAUUGUUGUAAAGGAAUGUUUAGAGUAAUUUAUCCCUGUAAUAUUUUGGUUAGUUUCACUGAAUGCCAAACUGACAAAUAUAUUGUCCAUUGUUUCCCUGAUGGGAACAGUGUUCCAUCUUCAAAAUCAACAAUAAAAUAUUCUAGAAGUUCUCUCUAUAGAAGGCAGAAUCUUUCACUGUAAUCAUAUACAAAUGUUUUGAGGAAAUUUUAAAUAUAGGAUUAAAAUGAUUAUUUUGCUGAGAACAACAAAUCCCUAUAGAAGAACAUAAUACUAUGGACUUAAAUAACAAUAUCAAGAAAUCUUGGGGUUCAUUACUCAUGUUAUGAGACUUAGUGAAGGUGAGAAUCUGGAGUAACAAUCCUUGGUUUGAUUUUUACUAUAGUAUAUAACUUUGGAGAAAUGAAAAAGAAUGAAAGUCCCUAUUGUUUAACAGUUAUUUCCUCUAUGCAUGGUCACCCAAUAAUUUGAGCAUAAUCUUAGGUUGGAAAACAAGUACACAGUCCCUAUAUUAAUUUGAAUUUACUGCUUGCCCUAGUAAUUCAGACUCUAUCAUGUCUUUAUUGUAAACCAUGGGGAAUAUAUAUGUAGCAAGAUUUGUGUUGUGUUAACCUUGUCUUGGCAGUAAAUGCUUGUGUUGGAAGCUUGCUUAUUUUAGCAGAGACAGGCCUAAGUCUGAGAUGCAUAUUUUCUGAACACAUGGUAUUUAUGAUACUGUGAGUUUUUCCUUUUCCAAAUGUGCUCUCAUACAUGUGUUGGUUUAAAUUUUGCACAGUUCUGUACUGAUUGCUGUCACCCAUAUAAGAGUGUAUUUUCUUUUAUAAAUGACUUAGACUGUCUAGGUCUACUGGUCUCCUUUAUUAACUUUUUGCUAAAUACUUUGCUUAUCAAAAAAUUGAUAAUGAGAAAAAAAUUAUUCCUUUUUUUAUACCUUAAAUGUACUGAAUAGCUCCAUAGAUUAGAUUCCAUAUGGUUUUGUUUUUCUCUAGUCUGCCCUACAAACAUGGUUAUGUUGGUUAAGAUGGUAUUUUCUAUUGAGUUGAGAAUUUUAACAUAGUAGACAAUGUAUAUCAUAAUAAAGAAUCUUAAAUAAUA